AUAUGGAGGAUGCAAGCGUUAUCCGGAUUCAUUGGGUUUAAAGGGUGCGCAGGCGGAUUGGUAAGUCAGGGGUGAAAUCCCACAGCUCAACUGUGGAACUGCCUUUGAUACUGUCAGUCUAGAGUAUAGUUGAAGUGGGCGGAAUGUGUCAUGUAGCGGUGAAAUGCUUAGAUAUGACACAGAACACCGAUCGCGAGGGCAGCUCGCUAAGCUAUAACUGACGCUCAUGCACGAAAGCGGUGGGGAUC
Molecule: ribosomal RNA, 248 nt
Filed under: uncultured bacterium
Lineage: Bacteria
Description: partial 16S ribosomal RNA
Rfam family: Bacterial small subunit ribosomal RNA
Source: RNAcentral